GACGAACGCUGGCGGCGUGCCUAAUACAUGCAAGUAGAACGCUGAAGGAGGAGCUUGCUUCUCUGGAUGAGUUGCGAACGGGUGAGUAACGCGUAGGUAACCUGCCUGGUAGCGGGGGAUAACUAUUGGAAACGAUAGCUAAUACCGCAUAAUAGCAGUUAUUGCAUGAUAACUGUUUGAAAGGUGCAAUUGCACCACUACCAGAUGGACCUGCGUUGUAUUAGCUAGUUGGUGGGGUAACGGCUCACCAAGGCGACGAUACAUAGCCGACCUGAGAGGGUGAUCGGCCACACUGGGACGGAGACACGGCCCAGACUCCUUCGGGAGGCAGCAGUAGGGAAUCUUCGGCAAGGGGCGGAAGUCUGACCGAGCAACGCCGCGUGAGUGAAGAAGGUUUUCGGAUCGUAAAGCUCUGUUGUAAGAGAAGAACGAGUGUGAGAGUGGAAAGUUCACACUGUGACGGUAUCUUACCAGAAAGGGACGGCUAACUACGUG
This 495-nucleotide ribosomal RNA is filed under the name uncultured bacterium. RNAcentral describes it as "partial 16S ribosomal RNA". It matches the Rfam family "Bacterial small subunit ribosomal RNA", at positions 28 to 507 of the family's 1533-position model. The record is from RNAcentral.